CGCUGGCGGCGUGCUUAACACAUGCAAGUCGAACGAGGAUAGUGAGAGCUUGUUCUGGCUAUCGAGUGGCGGACGGGUGAGUAACGCGUGAGCAACCUGUCUCACACAGGGGAAUAACGCAUCGAAAGAUGUGCUAAUACCGCAUAGGACCACGGGAGGACAUCCUUCUGAGGUGAAAGGAGUAAUCCGGUGUGAGGUGGGCUCGCGUCUGAUUAGAUAGUUGGUGAGGUAACGGCCCACCAAGUCAACGAUCAGUAGCCGACCUGAGAGGGUGAUCGGCCACAUUGGGACUGAGACACGGCCCAGACUCCUACGGGAGGCAGCAGUGGGGAAUAUUGGGCAAUGGGCGCAAAGCCUGACCCAGCAACGCCGCGUGAAGGAAGAAGGUUUUCGGAUCGUAAACUUCUGUCCUUGGUGAAGAGGUAGAGACGGUAGCCAAGGAGGAAGCCCCGGCUAACUACGUGCCAGCCGCUGC
RNAcentral lists this ribosomal RNA (475 nucleotides) under uncultured bacterium. RNAcentral describes it as "bacterial SSU rRNA". It matches the Rfam family "Bacterial small subunit ribosomal RNA", at positions 34 to 518 of the family's 1533-position model. The record is from RNAcentral.